This 465-nucleotide ribosomal RNA is filed under the name uncultured bacterium. RNAcentral describes it as "partial 16S ribosomal RNA". It matches the Rfam family "Bacterial small subunit ribosomal RNA", at positions 28 to 507 of the family's 1533-position model. The record is from RNAcentral.
GACGAACGCUGGCGGCGUGCUUAACACAUGCAAGUCGAACGGAAAGGCCCCUUUGGGGGUACUCGAGUGGCGAACGGGUGAGUAACACGUGAGUAACCUGCCCUUGACUUCGGGAUAACUUCAGGAAACUGGGGCUAAUACCAGAUAGGAAUCCUUGCUGCAUGGUGGGGGUUGGAAAGCUUCGGCGGUUUUGGAUGGACUCGCGGCUUAUCAGCUUGUUGGUGGGGUAGUGGCUUACCAAGGCUUUGACGGGUAGCCGGCCUGAGAGGGCGACCGGCCACAUUGGGACUGAGAUACGGCCCAGACUCCUACGGGAGGCAGCAGUGGGGAAUAUUGCACAAUGGGCGGAAGCCUGAUGCAGCAACGCCGCGUGCGGGAUGACGGCCUUCGGGUUGUAAACCGCUUUCAGCAGGGGCGAAGCUUGUGGUGACGGUACCUGCAGAAGAAGCACCGGCUAACUACGUG